AACGAACGCUGGCGGCAGGCUUAACACAUGCAAGUCGAACGCCCCGCAAGGGGAGUGGCGCACGGGUGAGUAACGCGUGGGAAUAUGCCCUUCGGUUCGGAAUAACACAGGGAAACUUGUGCUAAUACCGGAUACGAUCUACGGAUGAAAGAUUUAUCGCCGAGGGAGUAGCCCGCGUAGGAUUAGCCAGUUGGUGAGGUAAUGGCUCACCAAGGCGACGAUCCUUAGCUGGUCUGAGAGGAUGAUCAGCCACACUGGGACUGAGACACGGCCCAGACUCCUACGGGAGGCAGCAGUGGGGAAUAUUGGACAAUGGGGGAAACCCUGAUCCAGCCAUGCCGCGUGAGUGAUGAAGGCCUUAGGGUUGUAAAGCUCUUUCGCCAGGGAAAAUAAUGACGGUACCUGGAAAAGAAGCCUCGGCUAACUCCGUGCCAGCCGCCGCCGUAA
Molecule: ribosomal RNA, 447 nt
Filed under: uncultured bacterium
Lineage: Bacteria
Description: partial 16S ribosomal RNA
Rfam family: Bacterial small subunit ribosomal RNA
Source: RNAcentral